CUCUUUCCUUUCGGUGUGGUGAGUAAGCGCAGUUGUCGUCUCUUGCAGUGCCGUUGCUGGUUCUCACACCUUUUAGGUCUGUUCUGGUCUUCCGUUCCGACUCUCUCUUUUUCGUUGCAGCCACUGAAGAUCCUGGUGUCGCCAUGGGCCGCCGCCCCGCCCGUUGUUACCGGUAUUGUAAGAACAAGCCGUACCCAAAGUCUCGCUUCUGCCGAGGUGUCCCUGGUAAGUAGUGGAAGAGCCCCUGCACUGGUUGGCUCUGCGGACUCAGCGUCCGUCUGUGACACCCCCUGCAUACUUACCCAAUCCUUUUAGAUGCCAAGAUUCGCAUUUUUGACCUGGGGCGGAAAAAGGCAAAAGUGGAUGAGUUUCCGCUUUGUGGCCACAUGGUGUCAGAUGAAUAUGAGCAGCUGUCCUCUGAAGCCCUGGAGGCUGCCCGAAUUUGUGCGAAUAAGUACAUGGUAAAAAGUUGUGGCAAAGAUGGCUUCCAUAUCCGGGUGCGGCUCCACCCCUUCCACGUCAUCCGCAUCAACAAGAUGUUGUCCUGUGCUGGGGCUGACAGGUGAGCUUGGUCUGGGCCUUUUAAGGCAGUUGGAGUCUCUACAUUAUUAGGCUUGCAUUAUUUUAUCAGAGCAUAGAGGUGGCCCCAGUGACUCAGCCACUAUGGCUACUAGAAAAGCCAGGCUGGCAAGUGACUUUCAGUGGUCACUCAGGACCCCUUCCUGUGGACUGUUGCAGAUACAAACAAAGCAUGAGUAAGUCUUAGCAAGCUCUUCCCCACAGGUUAGGGGAAACACUGGUGAUGGGAGUAGCUCUUCUUGCUUUUAGCUGAAUGACAACCAUCUUGCCAGCAGGUAGCUGAAGCUGGCAGAGGAGCCCAGUGGCGCCUUUUCAGUGGUUCUUGGGAUGCUCCGCAGCCAAUUAAGCCGACUGAGUUCCUUUCCUCAUGGGGACCCAGUGUGCAAUGGCUGCACACAGCAGCUUCCUUGGUAGUGUACGCAGCCUGUUGGUUGUAUGGGUUGCUCUAAGGGACCUUGGAGACAGGCCUUUCCGGUGGAUGUUCGUGUUUCUGACCUUGCACUACCCCAAUGUAGGCUCCAAACAGGCAUGCGAGGUGCCUUUGGAAAGCCCCAGGGCACUGUGGCCAGGGUUCACAUUGGCCAAGUUAUCAUGUCCAUCCGCACCAAGCUGCAGAACAAGGAGCAUGUGAUUGAGGCCCUGCGCAGGGCCAAGUUCAAGUUUCCUGGCCGCCAGAAGGUAUGUAGUGCUGCAGCCCCCUUCUCCCACCUUUCUUUGCCCCAGGCCUCCUGACUCAGUUCUUUCCAUUGCUCCGUAGAUCCACAUCUCAAAGAAGUGGGGCUUCACCAAGUUCAAUGCUGAUGAAUUUGAAGACAUGGUGGCUGAAAAGCGGCUCAUCCCAGAUGGCUGUGGGGUCAAGUACAUCCCCAAUCGUGGCCCUCUGGACAAGUGGCGGGCCCUGCACUCAUGAGGGCUUCCAAUGUGCUGCCCCCCUCUUAAUACUCACCAAUAAAU
RNAcentral lists this small RNA (1533 nucleotides) under Pan troglodytes (chimpanzee). Its description in RNAcentral is "retained intron". The stretch from base 912 to 1046 matches the Rfam family "Small nucleolar RNA SNORA70". Lineage: Eukaryota; Metazoa; Chordata; Mammalia; Primates; Hominidae. The record is from RNAcentral.